CCUACGGUGGGCUGCAGUGAGGAAUAUUGGUCAAUGGGCGCGAGCCUGAACCAGCCAAGUCGCGUGAGGGCAGACGGUCCUAUGGAUUGUAAACCUCUUUUGUCGGGGAGCAAAAGACGCCACGCGUGGCGGUCCGAGAGUACCCGAAGAAAAAGCAUCGGCUAACUCCGUGCCAGCAGCCGCGGUAAUACGGAGGAUGCGAGCGUUAUCCGGAUUUAUUGGGUUUAAAGGGGACGCAGGCGGAAGAUCAAGUCAGCGGUAAAAUUGAGAGGCUCAACCUCUUCGAGCCGUUGAAACUGGUUUUCUUGAGUGAGCGAGAAGUAUGCGGAAUGCGUGGUGUAGCGGUGAAAUGCAUAGAUAUCACGCAGAACUCCGAUUGCGAAGGCAGCAUACCGGCGCUCAACUGACGCUCAUGCACGAAAGUGUGGGUAUCGAACAGGAUUAGAUACCCGAGUAGUC
This 459-nucleotide ribosomal RNA is filed under the name uncultured bacterium. Its description in RNAcentral is "partial 16S ribosomal RNA". It matches the Rfam family "Bacterial small subunit ribosomal RNA", at positions 338 to 795 of the family's 1533-position model. The record is from RNAcentral.